UCACCACCUGUAAAAAGAACGUUUGCAGGAAAAAAAUUAAUACACAAUUUUCAUAGCAACAUUUUAAAUAUUUGACUUCCACCUUUGAACUAAAGUGGAUUUCUAACAGGAAUUGUCAUCGUAAACAAGUAUGUUUGUUACUGUACUAAUGAGGUAUAAGAAGUCUGGUUACCUACCUUGUACAGUAACUGGAGUUCUUUGAGAUGUUUGAUCCCUAUGUAUAUUCCACUCAAGAUACACAUGUGUGCCAUGCGCCUGAGACCAGAAGUUUUUUCGCUAGCAGUGUCUGUUUGUCCACGGCUACACCCUUGUCCUCCUCGAGCUCCAAACUGAGGAUUUAAGGGGCGGUCUGGACUGUCUCUCUAAUUCCUUCGCUACUGCAAAUAAGCUUAGGAUAACAAUCCAAAACAGAGGGGAGGGAAGGCAGGGACCACACACCUUGAAGAACUCCAGUUACUGUACAAACACUUUCUUCUUUGAGUGAUGGUCCUUAUAUAUAUUCCACUUGAGGUGACUCACAAGAAAGGUGUGAGGAACCCUGCUGUACUACAGAUUGGAACAGCUCUGCUAUGAAGGAUGCAUCUGCUGUAGAAGCUUGUACCAGGGUAUGCACUGAGCUCUACAGAUCUCCAGAAGAGGGACAUCCUGAAAUGGAGUGGAACCCAGGGCAGAGGGAGGGACUGAGUUCCCCUACAGCCUUACCAGAAAGACUAGAGAGAAGACCCCAAACACAAAGUGACAGAAGGACCAUCAGGCCUGGACCAGGGCUGCCAACUUGGUGAAAACUCUGGCUUCCCCUGAAAUGGGUGAGACUGAAGGUGACCCAGCCUGAGAACUGAGUCAAAUGGCAAAAGAGGAAGUUACUUACAUGUAAAUGGAGGUUCUUUGAGAUGGGUGGUCCCCAUCUAUAUACCACAGUGGGUUAUGCACAUGCACCAUGCGCCCAGAGUUGGAGAGUUUAAAAGUAGUGUCUGGCCCAUGCAUGCGCCCUGGCUUGCCUCAUGCCUCCGACCAAGGAAAUAAAGGGCGAGGCAGACCGACCACCUCUUCAGUUCCUUCUCCAGUUCGAAUCAGACAAGAUUCAAAGCAGAGGGCAAGGAGAGCAGGUAGUGGAAUACAAAUAGGGACCACACAUCUUGAAGAACCUCCAGUUACAAGUAAGUAACCUCCUCUUCUUCUUUGAGUAAUGGUCUCUAUUGUAUCCCACUGUGGGUAACUGACAAGCAGUAAAUAAGUAGGAGGAGGGCUCGAGGAUGUGGACAGCAGGGUUGAACAGAGAACCAUCAAUCCAAAGGAGGCAGCAGCAGCUGAGUCCUGUACUAGGACUUGCAAACAUGUGGCUGGAGCUCCACAUGGCUCCAGGAGGGAUAACUCCUGAAGAGACACUACAUUUGUUGCUUGAGCUCUAGUGGAGUGAGCUCAUAUCUCUGUGGGGGGAGGGAGGUUUAAGAGCUGACAGAGUAGAAUGUAACCAGAUAUCCAUUUGGAAAUUCUCUGGGUGGAGAUGGCAUGCCCACUGAUUCUCUCUGCUAGAGUGACUGACAAAGUCUCAGGGACUUCCUGACUGGUUUUGAUCUCUGUUGGUAAAAGGCCAAGGCUCGAACAUCGAGAGAGUGGAGUCUACAUUUUUCUGCAGAUGUGUGCAAUAUGGGGAAGAAUAAAGGUAAGUGAAUAGAUUGGUUAAGGUGAAAUUCCAAAACCACUUUAGGGAUAAAUUUGGGGUAUAGGUGUAAAGAAACUAUCUUCGUGGAACAGUGUAUGGAGGGUCUGCCAUCAUUGCUCUGAGUUCACUAACCCUCCUCGCCAAUGUGAUGGCUCCAAGGAAGGUGACCUUCAUGGAGAAGAGAAACAUGGGGGCAAGUAGCUAAUGGGGAGCCUGGUCAGUACCAAAAGAACAAGAUUCAUGUCCCAUUGGGGCACAAUCUUUUGAGGAGUGGGAAAGUUCUUAUCCGGUCUUUCCAGAGUCAACUGGCUAGCGAGUGUGCAAAAAUAGAGUAGCCUUCAGAAGGUGGAAGGAAUGCACCGAUCGCCACUAGGCAGACUUGCAAGGAGCAGAGGGAGAGACCGGAUGUCUUCAAAAGAUAGGAUCUAGUCUAGAAUGAGUGGAAUAUCCAUAGCUUCUGGUAGAAUGCCUCUUUGUUGUGUCCAGGACCAGAAGCAUUUCCAUUUAGCUAGGUAAUCCUUUCUGCUAUUGGAGAAGACGUCUCACAUGGCUGAAGAGCAUGUACGUUCUAGCUAUGAUGGCCAUCCAAAUACCAUGCCCUGAGGUGGAGUGGUUGUGGAUUAGGGUGUUUAAUCCUCCCAUUGCACUGGGUUAGGAGCUCGGGGAACUAAAACUGUCAGGGCCAAAAAGGGGUGAUCAAGAUGACUGUCACCCUGUUCCGCUGGAACUUGCGUAGCACUCAUGGCAGAAGCGGCCGCGUAGGGAAGUAUAGUUGAACUGGUCUGACCAGGAAAGGAGAGCAUCACCUUGGAAGUUGCAGCCUAUGGCUCCUCUGGAGCAACAAGUGAUGCACUUCUUGUUGGCCUGGCAAGUGAAUAGAUCUCUUGUUGGGGUUCCCCAACACGUGAAAAUGUCAUGCACCACCAUGUCGUGAAGUUCCCACUUGUGGUCAAUUGCAAAACAUUUGCUGAGGGAAUCUGAGAGUGCAUUCUGUGUCCCUGGAAGGUAGGCUGCAGACAGGGUGAUUUGAUUGUUGAUGCACCAGUUCCAGAGAUUGCCUGCUUCUGCACACAGGGAGGCAGAUCUCACUCCCUUGCUUGCUGGUAUAAAAGCCCAUCAUAAUGUUGUCUGACAUCAGGAUGUGGUGAAAGCGAACAAAUGGAAGAAAGGAUUUGCAUACCUUCCUUACUGCCCAUAAUUCCAGGACACUGAUGUGCAUUCUGUACUCUCAAAAUGUCCAGGCUCCUUGUGCUGUGUGGUUGCCCAUAUAGGCUCCCCAACAUAGCAGGGAAACAUCCAUAAUGAUUGUCUUGGCCAGUGAAGAGGGGAGAAAGAGAGCACCCAUGCAUGUGAGAUGAGGAUUUGUCCAUCACAAGGAAGGACAGCGGGAAUCUUGGCAGGAACUGUCAGUGUGAGAUUCAUGCAAUGACAGCCGAGGGAGUGAACUGAAUGUAGUCAUACUCAAAGGUGGAGUCUUGCAAAGUGACAUUUGUGUACAAAGCCAUGUGGCCGAGUAGGGACAGACAUGUUUUGACUGUUACCCAAGGGUUGCUCACAAUGUGAUCUAUGAUAUCUUUCAUGGUCUAGAAACUGUGAGCAAGUUCGCCCCUGUGGUGACAGAGUUCAAGGUUGCCCCAAUGAAGUCCAAAGAUUUCAUGGGAGUAAAACCAGAUUUUUUAACAUUUACACUGACUCCCCAGGGAGGAAAAGAGGUGGAGCAUCAUACACGUCAAUGUAGGGUUUCUGGCGAGAUUUGGUGGUGAGGAGCCAGUCGUCAAGGUAUGGGAAAGUGAGGAGGCCAUGACAUCUGACGUGAGCUGCUACCACUGAAAAUACCUUGGUAAAGACUAUGGAGGUGGUAGCUAUUCUGAAGGAUAGUACUGGAAAUGAUCAGAGCCCACCAUAAAUCUGAGAAAUUGUCUGUGGGCAGAAGCCAUGACCACAUGCCAUUUUUUCUAAAAAUGGAAUUAUUGCUGCCUACAUGGCUGAAAUUUGAGUUUGUGAAUGAAGUGGUUGAGGUGGCGGAGGUUAAGGAUUGGUCUCCACCCAGCCUUCUUCUUGGAUAUGAGGAAACAGGUCAAGUAAAACCUGUAACCUAAUACUGUGGAGGAAAAUGCUCUAUUGAACUCCUUAUAGCAGCAAGGAGCACCUCCUGAGCGAGAAUACUGUCAUGAGAGUGGUCCCCAAAGAGGAUUGGGGAAGGGCAGUUUCGGAUGAAGUAGUGUUGCAAACUCAGUUGUAUAGCCAGCACCCACGUGUCCAUCAUUAUCACACUCCAGGUGCUGAAAAAGAGUGCUAGGCGAUCCCCGGAGUACUGGAGUCAGGUGGUGUUGGGCUCAGUGAAUCACAGUUCUCAAGCUCGCAUCAAAAAUAUUACUGGGUUUGGGGGGUUGGAUUGGGAUGUUGAGGCCAAUGUGGAAGGAACAUGGAAGCAGGACUUUUCAGUCUUCUGCCUUUUAUGCAGUGGUUUGUAGGGUCUCUGAUGGUAGAAGCGUUGAGCUCUAUACCUUGAUGGGGCUGACUGGUGAUGUAACUUCCUCUUAAGGGAAGGUGUGUAUGCACCCAGUGAUCAAAGGGUAGCCCUAGAGUCCUUUAGGGUGUAUAGGGACUCAUCCGUGUACUGAUUGAAAAGGUGAGAUUCAUUGAAGGGGAGGUCCCCAAUGGUAUUCUGGACCUCCCAGCAGAACGCUGAGGCACAGAGCUAGGACUCCCUUUGCAUAACAAUGGUGGUAGCCAUGCUCUGAGGAAGUAUCGGCUGCCUUGAGUGCAGAUUGGAGGGUGAUUCUGGCUAUUAAUUUUUUCCUUCCUCCAUUAGAGCUUGGAAAUGAGAAUGAUCCUGCUGUGGGAGGCUGUUGGCAAAUUCCUCAAACUUAGCAUUGUUCAGGAAAUCAUAUUUAGCCAAUAGUGCUUGAUAGUUGGCUAUCGUGAACCGAAAAUUGGAGGACAAGAAAACCUUCCUCCCCAAUAGUUUUACAUGUUUAUCCUCCUCGCCUGCAGGAGUAGAUCUGGGGUGGUGUUGCCUGGACCUUUCUGAAGUGGCCUGAACCACCACUGAGUUGGGAGCUGGAUGAGAAAAUAAGAAUUCUGACCUCUCUCUCACAUUGUUCUAGUGAGCUCCAAUAUGGCCUCAUUUACAGGGAGGGCUAUUCUUAUAGGUCUAGAGGUGUGGAGGAUGUCCAAGAGCUUGUGCUGGACUCCUGGACUCCUCUAUUGGAAUCUGAAGUUUCCUGGCAACUCUGCGGAGGUGGUCUUGGAACUGCCUGAAGUCACUGGGGGGGAAGGGGGAGAUGCCAAAGUCACCACAUCAGCUGAAAAUGAUGAUUGUAGUCCGGCCAGUUCCAGUGGAACCGCUGGAACCGGAGCGUAGUACUCCUGCUUUUCAACUGGAUCUGGGGGUAAAUGUGAUCCUUCCUUGAAGGGAAGGCAGGUAGCAACUCCCUGGUGGAUCAGAUAGAUUCUGAAGGUUGUUACUCAUCCCAUGAUCCCCAAUAUGGUCAGUAGGAGGGGUUGACAGGUAGUUGUGGGGGUCCCAAUGGCAUGGGAUACCAGUGACUCCAAGUUGGGUGAGGCAGUGGUUGGUCCCACGGCUGUGCAGAUCUCCUGGGAAAUGGGUAAGGAUGGUAUGGGAGGAGCAAUUCCUCUAAUGAUUCCGAAUCUCCUGAGGAAAAGGCUGACUUGGGUUCCAGUGGUGGUACUGCCAGUGCCAUUGGAGAGGUGUACAUUGUGUACGGAGAGGAGGGAAUGGGGUAACAGGCUCCGCCCUGUAGGCAACUCCCUGAAAACAGAGGUUCCCAAUGAAGGAGGGGAUUCUGGAUCCAGGCGGGCAAAAAUGUCCUGUGUGACCAUGGAUCCAUAUCUCCCAGGUGUCAGGACUCUUUCUGUCCAGGCUACUGGUGCCAGCAAUGCUGACUGCAUCCAAAGGUAAUCAGACUUUGCUGGUGCAGGAGGGUCCCAGGUCUUGUGAGGAGCUGGGGGAUGGUGGUACCAAUGGAGCACAGUCCAGAGCUGGCAGAGCUCAAUGUUUCGGAGCUUUCUUCUUGUGCCUAUGGGACCAAGGACAUACUAAGUCCUCAUAGGCUGAAUGGGUGGAUUUGCUUGCAGGCAUGUCUGAUUUCUUUGAAGCGGACUUAGAGGAAGACUUAGUCCCAUGCUUAUGGGAAUGCUUCCUGACUAGGCCCUGUGGUGUGGUGGAUUCUCUGGCACUGAAGUCAGACUCAGCAGCAGGAGGCACAUUCCUUGCUGAUUCAGGCCAAUGUACAGAACAGAUUUUGAUCAGAUUGCAGCCAUGAUCUCCAUGAGAUACUUGCAGAGACAAAGUGCCUGUCCUUCUAGGGUAUGGCUGGGAGACGACUGGCAAAUACUACACCAAGCCAUGAGGUGAGUUUCUUCCAGGCAGUAGAGGCAGUGCUGAUGGUCGUCGCUGACUGAGAAGGAUCAUGGGCAAGAGGCACAGAGUCUGAAGCCUGGAGUUCUAGGCAUAGUCUGAUACUCAAGUGGAGUACGGGAUGGUGGUAGGUUCCCCUGUAGCCUAAUCUGUGAAAGAUACUAAAAACUACUAAAUCUAUAAAAGUUAUUAAAAACUAUUAAAACUAUUAACUAUUUAAUUUAUAUUGUUUUUCAGAACGACGUCAAAGCUGAGGACACUAAAGGUUUUGAUCUGGACCAUGCAGCUGUGAAAAGGAGACCUGAAGAGGUGGUUGGUUCACCCUGCCCUUUAUUGCCAUGGUCGAAGGCACAAGGCAAGCAAGGACACAUGUGCGGACAAACAGACACUACUUUCAAAUUCUCUGACUCCAGGCACAUGGUGCACACAUGUAACCCCGAGGUGGAAAACAACAGGGACCAUCGCUCAAGGAAGAAGGGGACCAUAGGCAGACCAGGUCAGCAGGACUAAAGAGAAAAAACACUGCACGUAGCCACAAGGCAGCAGAGCAGUUGGCAAGUAAUUUUUCCACGAGGGGGAGGGAGAGGACGAGGAUGAGAGGGUCCUGACAGGCUGGGGUCAGACUACGAACUCAUCGAACAAUCCAUCAGGAAUCUCCUAAAACUGCACUCUUGUGGAUUGAUAGUCUUGGUGAGAGGAGGGACAGAUAUUACACUUGGAGGGGGUAUGAGCUUUCCUGGGGCAAAACAAGCAAGCAUCAUGGUCGUUGCUUACCAGGAAGACCCGGGAGCAGACCACGCGGAUCUUGAAUUCUGAGGUCUUGGGCAUACUAGGCAUCCCAUACAGCGGUUAGGGGGCACCUCAGGCCCCUGGACCCUAAAACUAACUCUACACUUUUAAACUUAUCUAAGAACAGGUAAAACUAUUUACAUUAGACAAAGAAUGCUCAAUAAAGCUGUGGACACUGAAGGGUUAGGAUUCAGACUAUGGGUGGUAGAAAGGUACUGGACUAGUGGUCAUUCCACACAUCCCCUAACAACCUCGGAGCACAAGGAGGAAAAAGGUGCAGGCAUGGACCAACAGACACCACUAGCGAAAAAUCUGGUCUCAGGCACAUAAACCACAUGUACACAUUGAGUGGACUACACAUAGAGACCAUCACUUGAAGAAGAACCAAAAGGAUUCUUGUCCCAAACAAUCAGCGAUCAGGCAUGUUGCUGCAUCAUAGAAAUUACUAUUUCCAGACUAACACUUGUUACUCAGCUGUGAAGGUUAAAAAGUGCUACUCCAAACAUGAACAGUUACAGACAUUUAAAAGAAUAGUGUGAAAGUCAUCAUCUAAGGAUAAAGUGACUCCAAAGCAGCAUCCCUGGAGGUGGGAAUGAGUUCACGGACGUACAGAUUGCUACAUAGCUCUGCCGAGUCCAGAGUUGUUCCUGGCCUGCUGUGUGAUGGCAUAAUGAGCCAUAAACGUGUGGACAGAGGACCAUGUUGUGGCUCUACAGAUAUCCUGGAUAGGGUUGUGUGACAGAAGGCCGCCGAAAACACCUGAGCUCUCAUCGAGUGGGUUCUGACAAUCGGUGGCAGCGGAACCCCUGCCAGGUCAUAACUGGUCAUUAUGCACGAGGUAAUCCAAUUGGAAAUCCUCUGCGAGGACACUGGAUGAAGCUUCAUCCUAUCUGCUGUAGCGAUGAAGAGGUAAGUCAAUUUACGGAAAGGCUUGGUAUGUUCCAAGUAAAAAGCCAAAGCCCUCCAGACAUCCAGGGCAUGAAGACAUCUCUCUUCACUGGUCUUGUGCAGUUUGGGACAAAACACUGGGAGGAAGAUGUCCUGGUUCAUAUAGAAGGUGGAGACCACCUUUGACAGGAAGACCAGGCGGGGCUGCAACUGAACCUUAUCUUUGUAGAAGACCGUGUAUGGCGUUUCUGAGGUCAAGGCCUUAAUUUCUGAGACCCGUCUUGCCGAUGUCACUGCCACCAGGAAUACAACCUUCCUUGACAGAUGGGAAAGGGAGCAGGACCCCAGCAGUUCAAAGGGUGGAGGACCAAGUUAAGAUCCCACUGUGCGACAGGAGCCCGCACCUGCAGGAAGAGUCUCUCCAGCCCUCUCAAGAAUCUGACCGUCAUGUCAUGAGAACACAGUCUGUCCUUGGAUCGGUGGGUGAAAAGUGGAGAUGGCCGCGAGAUGCAUUCUAAUGGAAGAGUGUGCUAGACUCUGGUUCCUUAAAUGGAACAGAUAGUCCAGGACAGCCUGUAUGGAAGAACGCGAUGGAGAGAUGCCCCAUUCAAACACCCAUAAGGAAAACCUUGUCCACUUGGCCAGGGUAAGUCAGUCUAGUUGAGGGCUUCCUACUUUUCAGGAGGACCUGUUGGACUUCUUCGAACAAGUCCACUCCUCUGGGUUCAGCCAUGCAGCAUCCAUACCAAAAGGCAGAGGGACCCGAGGUUGGGGUGUAAGAGCCGACCGUAGUCCAGUGACAGCAGGUCCAGUCGGUUGGGCAGGGGCCAAGGAGGAGCCGUUGACAGGCUCAUGAGCGUGCCGAACCAAUGCUGGUGAGUCCACAACAGGGCAAUCAUGAAAACCUAUGCCUGGUCUCUCUUGAUCUUUUCCAGGGUCCUGCUGAUGAGUGGAAUCGGAGGGAAUGCGUACAUCAGGCUCCCUGACCAUGACAGGAGGAAAGCAUCGGAGAGGGAGUCUUUUUGUUCAGACCCUGUCAAGAACAAAACCGGUGGCAUUUCCUGUUCUGUCUGGUAGCGAACAGGUCCACUUGGGGAGUGCCCCACCUUUGGGGGAUCAUGCAGGCUACCUCUGUAUGCAGCGACCACUCGUGGUGAGAGGAGAAGUCUCUGCUGAGCUGGUCUGCCAGCUUAUUCCUGAUGCCAGGAAGGUGACAAGCUUCCAGAUGCAUUUUGUGGCUGAUGGAGAAGUCUCAGAGUGCCAAUGAGAGCGCUCCCCCUUGCCUGUUGAUGUAGAACAUCGAGGCUGUGUUGUCCGUCAGGACUCGUACCACCUUGCCCGACAGGUGGGCCAAGAAGACUCUGCAUGCCAGCUGGACUGCUCGGAGCUCUUUGAUGUUUAUGUGUAACGCACCUCCUCCAGAGACCACCUCCCCUGUGUCUGGAGGUUGCGAGAUGUGCCCCCCCAGCCAAGAUCAGAGGCAUCCGACACCAACUCAAUGGAGUGAGGAGGGUGGUCGAACGGAACCCCUUUCAGGACUGUCCCGCAGUCGGUCCACCAUCUCAAAGUAGGGCCGCAUCUGGAGCCUGGCAUAGAGGACCACAGAAGUGCACACUGCCAUGUGACCCAGCAAGCACAGACAGACCCUGGCUGUAGUCAAAGGGAAUGCGGAGACUUCUGCAAUGAGGUUCGUCGAUGCAUGGAACCCUUCCAGCAGCAGGAACGCUCUGGCGCAGUAGGCCCAGAGAGCGGCACGUGGCUUGAAACACCGCGACAUCCCUUCGGACUUGAGGCCUGGAGCAGCCCUUGACGAGCCAGUCGUCGAGGAUGGGUAGAUCUGGAUAAGCCGGCACCUGAGGGCCCCGCCGUCGAAGGGCAGGUCCCCCAAUGACUGCUGGGCCUCGGUGGACAACCCAGAAAGAAGCAGCCAAGAGACUCACCACAUGGAGAUAGCGGAAGCCAUGCUACAGGAAGCAGCAUCAGCAGCAUCCAACGCCACC
Chelonia mydas (Green sea turtle) is the source of this 9724-nucleotide long non-coding RNA. RefSeq lists it as uncharacterized. The record is from RefSeq and is a predicted model, not a curated record. NCBI's taxonomy places the organism in Eukaryota, Metazoa, Chordata, Testudines, Cheloniidae. The transcript is spliced from 5 exons.